AGCAACGACUAUACCAUGUUGAACACACCGGUUCUCGCCCGAUCGUCGAAGUUAAGCAACAUCGGGCGUGGCUAGUACUUAGGUGGGUAACCACUUGGGUCACCGUAACCAUGUGUCGUUGGCA
This 124-nucleotide ribosomal RNA is filed under the name Anopheles minimus. Lineage: Eukaryota; Metazoa; Arthropoda; Insecta; Diptera; Culicidae. The record is from RNAcentral.